RNAcentral lists this unclassified non-coding RNA (509 nucleotides) under Hevea brasiliensis (rubber tree). Lineage: Eukaryota; Viridiplantae; Streptophyta; Magnoliopsida; Malpighiales; Euphorbiaceae. The record is from RNAcentral.
GUUGUGUUGAUGUAUUAAGAUCAUUUUCCAUUACUGCAAAAUUUUCUUCUGGAGUCAUGUGUAGACCAGUGAUCUUGCCUCUUUCAAAGCCGUCAAAUAUCUGCAAUGACACUGGUGGAUCAACACUAAACAUCAAAGGGUUGUGGCAUCCAUAUGCUCUUGGUGAAAGUGGGGGACUUCCUGUUCCUAACGAUCUCCAUCUUGGAGGGAAUACAAAUAUCCGCUAUCCUCGAACUUUACUAUUGACCGGACCAAAUAUGGGUGGAAAGUCGACUCUUUUACGUGCCUCUUGUCUGGCUGUCAUAAUGGCUCAGUUGGGUUGCUAUGUGCCUGGAGAAACAUGUGUGCUUUCACUUGUGGACAUCAUCUUUACACGUCUUGGAGCCACUGAUCGAAUCAUGACUGGUGAAAGUACCUUCUUCAUUGAAUGCACGGAGACCGCAUCAGUUCUUCAAAAUGCUACGUAUAAUUCCCUUGUUCUUUUGGAUGAAUUGGGUAGAGGAACAAGC